CUAAUACCAAAUGUGCCCUCUGGCCGCAAGGCCUGUGGGGAAAGGAAGCUUCGGCCUCCGCAUCGGGAUGGGCCCGCGGCCCAUUAGCUUGUUGGUGAGGUAAUGGCUCACCAAGGCGACGAUGGGUAGCUGGUCUGAGAGGACGAUCAGCCACACUGGGACUGAGACACGGCCCAGACUCCUACGGGAGGCAGCAGUGGGGAAUCUUGCGCAAUGCGCGAAAGCGUGACGCAACAACGCCGCGUGGGGGAAGAAGGACUUCGGGUUGCAAACCCCUUUCAGUUUGGGACGUAGCUUCCCCGGUGUAUUAGCCGGCUGGAGUGACGGGUACCUUCAGAAGUAGCCCCGGCUUACUACGUGCCAGCAGCCGCGGUAAUACGUAGGGGGCUAGCGUUUUCCGGUAUCAUUGGGCGUAAAGAGCGUGUAGGCGGCUCGGUUAGUCCGCUCUGUUAGCCCGGGGCUCAACCCCGGGAGGCGGGCGGAUUCUGUCGGGCUAGAGUCCGGAAGAGGCGAGUGGAAUUCCUGGUGUAGCGGUGAAAUGCGCAGAUAUCAGGAGGAACACCAAUGGCGAAGGCAGCUCGCUGGGACGGUACUGACGCUGAGACGCGAAAGCGUGGGGAGCAAACA
RNAcentral lists this ribosomal RNA (627 nucleotides) under uncultured bacterium. RNAcentral's name for it is "bacterial SSU rRNA". It matches the Rfam family "Bacterial small subunit ribosomal RNA", at positions 163 to 774 of the family's 1533-position model. The record is from RNAcentral.